RNAcentral lists this ribosomal RNA (421 nucleotides) under uncultured soil bacterium. RNAcentral's name for it is "bacterial SSU rRNA". It matches the Rfam family "Bacterial small subunit ribosomal RNA", at positions 26 to 441 of the family's 1533-position model. The record is from RNAcentral.
AGAUUGAACGCUGGCGGCAGGCCUAACACAUGCAAGUCGAGCGGUAGAGAGGUGCUUGCAUCUCUUGAGAGCGGCGGACGGGUGAGUAAUGCCUAGGAAUCUGCCUAGUGGUGGGGGAUAACGUUCGGAAACGGACGCUAAUACCGCAUACGUCCUACGGGAGAAAGCGGGGGACCUUCGGGCCUCGCGCCAUUAGAUGAGCCUAGGUCGGAUUAGCUAGUUGGUGAGGUAAUGGCUCACCGAAGGCGACGAUCCGUAACUGGUCUGAGAGGAUGAUCAGUCACACUGGAACUGAGACGACGGUCCAGACCUCCGUACGGGAGGCAGCGAGGUAGGGAAUAGUGGAACUAAGUGGGACGAAAGCCGUAGACUCCGAGCCAGUCGCCGCGUGUGGUAGAAGUACGGUUCGUUACGGUAUUAG